RNAcentral lists this ribosomal RNA (497 nucleotides) under uncultured bacterium. RNAcentral's name for it is "partial 16S ribosomal RNA". It matches the Rfam family "Bacterial small subunit ribosomal RNA", at positions 28 to 507 of the family's 1533-position model. The record is from RNAcentral.
GAUGAACGCUGGCGGCGUGCCUAAUACAUGCAAGUCGAGCGAACAGACGAGGAGCUUGCUCCUUUGACGUUAGCGGCGGACGGGUGAGUAACACGUGGAUAACCUACUUAUAUUUCUGGGAUAACUUCGGGAAACCGGAGCUAAUACCGGAUAAUAUAUUGAACCGCAUGGUUCAAUAGUGAAAGACGGCUUUGCUGUAUCUUAUAGAUGGAUCCGCGCUGCAUUAGCUAGUUGGUAAGGUAACAGCUUACCAAGGCAACGAUGCGUAGCCGACCUGAGAGGGUGAUCGGCCACACUGGAACUGAGACACGGUCCAGACUCCUACGGGAGGCAGCAGUAGGGAAUCUUCCGCAAUGGGCGAAAGCCUGACGGAGCCACGCCGCGUGAGUGAUGAAGGUCUUCGGAUCGUAAAACUCUGUUAUUAGGGAAGAACAAAUGUGUAAGUAACUAUGCACGUCUUGACGGUACCUAAUCAGAAAGCCACGGCUAACUACGUG